AACUUCUACUUCCCGGUACUGCCUGCCACAAUUUUAUCCCUUAGAACCCAGAACAGCUGGGAGCAGAUAAAAUCUUCUUGGGUUAUGAGCUACUCAGGAGGCUGAGGCAGGAGAAUCGCCUGAACCCAAGAGGAGGAGGUUGUGGUGAGCCAAGAUCGCGCUGUCGCACUCCAGCCUGGGCAACAGAGUGAAACUAUAUAAAGCACAUUGGGCCAGGCAUGGUGGCUCACACCUGUAAUCUCAGCACUUUGGGAGGCCAAAGCAGUGGAUCACUUGAGGUCAGCAGUUCGAGAACCAGCCUGGCCAACAUGUUCCCAGAUGAUGCUGCUGGCCUGCGGACUGUACUUUGUGAACUUAUGCUGGAGCAGAUGGAUCAGAAACCCCGGCCAGAGGAUGCUCAGGACCCAUCAAGCCCCCGCGAGGAAGGACUCAGACCCCCAACCCCACCAAAUUAAAGCAGGCAAUGGAGAAUUAUACUGAAGGGAUUCUUCGGCUGGGCAAAAACAUGAUUAGAUCUGCAUUCUAAAGACUGCUCGCAGAGUAGAGGAUGGAUUGGAGCAGGGAGUCUACUGCAAUAGUACAGAUGCGAUAGUGAAGACUUCAUUUAAAGCAGCACCAGCAAGAAUGAGGAAGAAGGGAUUAAUAUGAAAAACGUUAAAGAGGUGGAAUGUAUAAGGCUCGAUGGCCGAAUGAUGGGAGGUAGGAAUAGGGAGUGUGUAGAAGGAGUCUAAGA
This 733-nucleotide long non-coding RNA is filed under the name Homo sapiens (human). RNAcentral describes it as "HSALNT0309219". The record is from RNAcentral. Lineage: Eukaryota; Metazoa; Chordata; Mammalia; Primates; Hominidae.